This is a long non-coding RNA of Camelus dromedarius (Arabian camel), 3066 nucleotides long. RefSeq lists it as uncharacterized. The transcript is spliced from 4 exons. The record is from RefSeq and is a predicted model, not a curated record. Lineage: Eukaryota; Metazoa; Chordata; Mammalia; Artiodactyla; Camelidae.
GCUGAGCAGCCAUGGUUCUCUUCAACAAACAGCUGAGGCCUCUUGACUUUUGCUUGGAGCUGGUAGUUUCCAGCUUGGCUGCACAUCAGAAUUACCUGGAGGGCUGUUCAGAAAUCCUGAUGCCCAGGCCACACCUCACUCAGAUCAAUUAAAUAAUCAUCUCUGGUGGCAGAACCCAGGCAUCAGUAAACACUACAGAUGACUCCAACAUUCAGGCCUCUGCACUCAUCUGAAGGAAAAUUAGAGACUGAAUCAACUACUGUGAAACAGCAAUUUCACUUCAACUUGGGUUGUACUUACCUUUUCUUGAUUUCAACAUUUAUGCUUCUAAAAUUGAACUUCUUGCUCCUAAAGCCCAGAGAGGGGAAGAAACAUAUCUAUCUGGUUUAGUAGUGACGUCCAAUGUAUCAGAUUGUUUUUCGGAGUAUUUCAACUCGUCUUUGGGUCAUUGACCUCAGGUUUGAAAACUGCCCUUUCCUCGUGCAGCUCGCGCUUUGCGGCGCCUCUUUUACAACUCGUGCUUAGCCCCAGGCCACCUGUUGCAGCACCGCGGAUUUACCUCCUCCUCUCAGGGAGUUUUGAAGGACUGUAAACAUGUACCAGGGUAUCGAGAAUUAUCAUGUUAGUCUUUUAUGGAAAACUUUUAAGUUCUUAUUUCAACUUCUAGCUUCUCUAGAAUUUUCAUUACAGCCAUUUUCAUUGUUUCUUACUCUUCAUAUUAAUGGUUCCCCAUGGUGGCUGGUGAUUCUAUUGGCUUAUUUCUCCCUCAUUAUUCAGUCGUUACAAACACUGAGGGGAUCAGCACAAUCUGCAGCAAGGAUAUUAACUUUGGAAGCAUUUGAUUCCUACCUGGAACGUGAAGUACAGUAGUGAGGGCUGGCAGGAAAUAAUGUACUGGGAUUGUGGGAAGAAUAGCGCUGGGUGAGUUAAAAUGAUGGUGCCAGAGAGGUGAGACAGAGAGGGCAUCAGGGUGGCUGGGACGGCAGGAGGAGUGUGUGCAUGAAAACAUGCCCUAGGUAAGGGUUGGUCGCCUGGGGUGGUGUGAUUACAGAAAGAACUGAGAGGUUCUCUACAUGGUGUAGGCUCUUGGUGUUUACCUAUAUCUGCUCCUCAUGGCACACAAUUCAGCAUAUUUCCUAACUCCUCUUGUACCUAGAAAGGGUCAUGUGACUGAGUUCUGGCCAAUGAAUUUCUAGUUCUGAUCACGACACACCCCAUGAAGAUUUCCACUCUAUUUCUCAGGCCAUCCUGCUAAAAAGGAAGGAUUCUGAUGGUCUGAAAGAUGAUGCUACCAUAGGCUAGAAGGAGCUGGGACUCCUGAGUCAUUGCUUGGAGGGGACGUAUUGGAUCUUGCAAAACAAGAAAUAAACUUAAAUUCUGUUAAGCCACUGAAAGUUGGGAUUUGUUUCUUACAGUAGCUAGCAUUAAUUAUCCUGGCUAAUGUAGUGUCUCUUUGGUUAUGAUACUGUCUUUGAUGUUGUCACAGCCAGAGAAUAAAGAAAGAAAGAAAAAAGCAGGAAAAUACUGCUCAGAGAGAGAGUAUCUGAGGCGGGUGGGACGAGGAACAGGAGAAAGCAGAUGGCAGUGGGCAUGGAGGGCCUCCAGAGACAGAAAACAUUUUGUGGAUGUACUGACCUAACUGUAGAACUGAGCAGGACCCCUCUAAAUGGACCUCCAUUUGUAAAAGUAGACUGACAUAUUUCUGACAACUAUAAUUAAAACAAUGUGUAUUUCAUACAACUGUAAGUGAAGCACAUAUACUGUUUAUUUAAAAAUAUAAAAUAGGAAACAUCAAAGAACAAGUAUAAAAUUCUUAAAUAUAUAUUGAAAACAUUUUUUAGAAUGCUGAAGUGUGCUACAUGUAUUUCAAAACUCCAUGGAGAGACACAGGAGAGGAGGGAGGCUCUGGGUUUGCUGAGUGGAGCGUGCUGUGAGGAUGGGCACUGUAUGUGGAGAAUGUUUGGAUCGUGUGCAAUUAAAUAUGAAGCAUGUUGGGCCUGGGAGUCUGGAGAAAGUGGCAGGAGAGGUUAGUUUUUCCCUUUGCUUUUUAGUACUUAAAUACAGUGACUUGUAAGUCAGUUUCUAUGCAACAAAAAUAUUUAGUGAUCAGAUUUGGAACAGUUACUUGAAAUUUCCAAGCAUCUGAAGGGGUAAAAAAUUAAAGCUAACAUUUCCUUUGAAAUACAGCAGAGUUUUUUUUUUUUUUUCCUGAAACAUGGAAUAAAUUCCAAAGUCUGAAAUAAUACCCAAAAUGUUCACUCAUCAGUGAAUGACCACCAAAUAGAUGUAUCUUCAAAGUAUGCUAACUUGGUGGCACCCAUUGCUUGAGAUAAAAGGACUCCUUUGUUUCUUCUAAAAACUGCCAGUGACAGACCUUUCCUAUGGAUUGAGGCUUCCCUUUCCUUUCCCCACUUCUUUUCCACACCCCAGUUCAAGAUUUGCUUGGCUGAGAGGGAAGUCUAAGAAUUUAUGAAUAGAGAUCCUGCAGGCUCGCGUGCCCAUGGCUCCAGCGGUCCCAAGGCUCCUGGUGGUCACUGUGAGUCAAUCACUGUGGUCGCCUAAUAUUAUCUAUGGAGCAGACUGAAAGCAUGUCAUUGCCACGAGGAACAGGGUGUUCAAGAUCCUCAGACUAAAAAUCUCACUAGCCAAGGGUUGGGGUAGGUGGGGAAGAGAGAAACAGGUAGAGCACAGAGGAUUUCCAGGGCAGUGAAAUACUAUGUAUGAUUUAAUAAUGGUGAUUACAACAUUAUAUAUUUGUCCAAACUCAGAGAUUGACAACACCAAGAGGGAGCGCUAAGGUAAACUUCAGAUAUUGAAUGGUUAUGAUGUGUCAAAGUAGGUUCAUCAAUUGUAACAAAUGUACCAUUCUGGAAAGUGAUACUGAUAAUGGGGGAGGCUGUGCACUGUCAGAGCAGGAGAUACAUGGAAAUCUCUGUGCCUUCCUCUCAAUUUUGUUGUAAACUAAAACUGCUCUAAAAAUUGUCUUUAAGAAGCACUCACUAGCUAUAAUUAUUUUACUAGAAAUUGAGCAAAAAAAAAAAAAAAAAGGUGUCUUAAACACCACCU